AAAGAAACAGAGCAACCUAAAAAACGUGGUGUCUGUUCUCUUCAGGUUCUAGGGUUGCUCAUCUUUAUUUCUCUCCGCUUUCUCUUUCUUCCGUUCAAGAUUAAUUUCUUGAAUUCUAAUUCUUUUAAAAGAUUUUUUUUUUCUUAUUUUUUCCUUUGCAAGAAAUGAGGUGGAUGUAUUGAGAAGAGAAAGCGAAAACGUUUAGAAAGACUUUUUCUUUUCUUUUUUUAUAGCAAUAGCUAGAUUACCCUUUCCAGGCUUGAAAAGAAAGAGUGCAUAUAAAGGAAAUUUUGUGAGAGGUUUCUCUUUUUGGUUUUUUCUAAAGAAAGUAUAUAUAUGCACAUUAAUUGGGCAACAAAGUAUAUCUAUUCAGAAAGAGUGGACGGUGGAAAGGAGAGUUUUCAAAGCUGUAAAUACGUGUAAGCAAAGAAGAUUAUACGUAUUAGUUGAUUGAUUUGUUAUAUGUUUUUGUUGUACAAUAAAGAAAAAGAAAGAAUUGGGUUUGUGUCGAAACAAAGAUAAGUUUCGAGAUUUUGAGCUGUUCCAGAUAAUGAGAGCGAGGCCAUAAUGGAUUUUUGGCCAGAGUUUCUUGCUACAAGUUGGGGCAGAGAAUUUGUCGCUGGAGGUUUUGGUGGCAUUGCAGGUAUAAUUUCUGGUUAUCCUCUUGAUACUCUGCGUAUCAGGCAACAACAAAACUCCAACUCUGGCUCUGCCUUGAGCAUCCUCCGCCGCGUCAUCGCCGCCGAAGGGCCUCGUGCACUCUACAGAGGGAUGGGUGCACCGCUGGCAUCAGUCACCUUUCAGAAUGCCAUGGCUUUCCAGAUAUAUGCUAUCCUUUCUCGAGCAUUUGACUCGUCUGUUUCGGUUAAUGACCCUCCUUCCUACAAAGGUGUGGCUUUAGGAGGAGUUGGCACUGGAGCUUUACAGAGUUUGAUGCUUACUCCUGUAGAACUGGUAAAGAUCCGCCUUCAAUUGCAGGACAAAAGUCAUGCGGAACUCCAUCAUAUAGAUUGUCAUAAAGGUCCUAUAAGUGUUGCCAAGAGCAUACUCAGGACUGAAGGUUUAAGAGGAAUUUAUCGAGGCUUUUCCAUCACCGUUCUUAGAGAUGCACCUUCUCAUGGCUUCUAUUUCUGGACAUAUGAGUACAUGAGAGAGCAGCUCCAUCCUGGCUGCAGAAAAAAUGGCCAAGAAAGCUUAAGAACAAUGCUGAUAGCUGGGGGACUAGCAGGAGUUGCAAGUUGGGUCUGCUGCUAUCCAUUAGAUGUUAUAAAAACCAGACUGCAAGCUCAGACACCAUCAUCCCCACAAAAGUAUAAUGGCAUUCUGGAUUGUCUUAGCAGAAGCGUUAAAGAGGAAGGCUACCGCGUGCUCUGGCGCGGUUUGGGAACUGCUGUUUCGAGAGCUUUUGCUGUGAAUGGAGCAAUAUUUUCUGCUUACGAGAUUGCAUUGAGGUGUUUAUUCAACAAUGGAAGCAUUCAAAGAGAAAACACAAUCUAGGAGAAGUAUCUUUCCUAAUUAGGAUGGCUAUCGCCAUUUAUCUGUUAGUAUUAUAAUAUGAAGAACAGCCAAAGAAUUGCAUAUGGCAUGCGAUCCUUUUUCAACACUGCUCUCACUUAUCUCUAGGUAUAGAAGCAACUGAAUGAACCGGCAAACUGGAGCCCUCAUCUUGUUGCACUAAUGGAGUAUGGGUUUUUGAGCUUCUGACUAAAUCCACCCAUAAGAAAGUUAAAAUGCAGUUCUCAUUUUGUAUUAUAGCUCAUAGCCAUGUUUGGAGACGAAAACAUAAUGAAUUACUUUGUUCCUUUAUGAGACUUUACAUCUCUUUCCAUGUGUUUGUUCGGACAAGAAUUGAAUGUAAAGUGUGCAGAAUACACAAAACAGACAUUUAGUUGUAUUAUUUUUGUAACAGCAUAAAAAUGGAAGGAAAAAUCCAUUUACUGUUGAUUAUUAAUAGGACAUAAUGAGAAUUCUUUUACCAGCAAAGAUAUGAACUGAAAUGCAAAGAAAAGACCAGACGGAUUCAUUAUCAGAUUAAUCUUAAAUAAUAUCAUCGUCCACCAUGGUAUCAUCCAAUCCAUAGCUACAUUCUGCCAAGACACGAAGAUUAUUGCAGCGCUUAAUGCCCGAACAAUUGCACGAAUUCGCCUACAUGUAUUUGAACCAUAGAAAAUGCCUGAGUUGUACAGAUUUGAACUGUAGAAAAUGUCUGAUAUACAUGUCUGAUCCAAAACUUUCUGAUCUACCAAGCACACCAUCAUAUCCCAAUUGCAUCAUGAGUGCUGCAUCAGCAGGAGUCAUAGUGCCUCCCCAAUGCAAUUUGCAUAACUGGAAGCUUACCCAUUCACUUAAUUUCUGCUGCAAGACCGUAAGACGCCUACAUCUUCUGUGAAAACGAGAAAACCUCAUCUUUAUUGUUGUUUACCUCUUUCAUCAUUGACCCAACAUUACUAACCGUCUCAGCAAUGUCACCAAACCCAGCCAAGUUCCACAUAUCUCAUCGUCCAAAGUAUGACUACACCUUCCAUUAUCCCUGUGGACACUUCUUUGAAAUUCCUGCACUAACAAGCAAAUAUUACUUGAAAAUUAUGCUUAUUAAUGUAGUUUUCAUUGUCAACAUUACCAAGAAGUUCGCUGUCAUCAAUAUAAUCUACUCCAGUUGCUUCGAAAGUCAGGGCUUCAACAAAAUGCCCCAUAGAGACACUCUUGCCAUCACCAAAUUGAGAAUGCCUGCUUGAUUUGACAAGCAUGAGAUGGAUCACUCAAGUGAAAGUUACCACGGUAGAUAAAAAUGCAGGAAGUUCCGGCUUUGUCUGCUAUUUUACCUUGUUCUGUAUUGGUGACUUCAACAAUACUUGUUAAUGCAUUUCGGCUACUCCAAACUUGAUGGAUAAACGGUUCUCUUUGCUAUCACCAUCAGCAAAGUUGUCAAAAACUGGUAUUAUAGCAUCAGCCAUUGAUGUUGUAACAUCCUCAUUUUCGUAGUCCGUACAUUCUACUGUUCCGACAGCUAAUGUCUGCCCCGGAAAGUCGGAAUGUCUGGAACUACACUUCGGUGAUAAUGAACAGACAUAUAAUGAUGAAAUAAAUAAGAAGAAAAUGCAAGAAAAAUCAAAGACAAAUGAAAGAGAGAAAAUGAAGCUAAAUUAAACAAGCCGGCACGACAGCGAUGGGUGACCGCACAGGGAAGGCUGUUGCCGAUCCCAGGACCGUGGAGAACCCUCGAAAUUUAAUUUUGAGACAUAGAUAAAGGUUUAUUGAAAUGUAAUUGAUACUAGAAAUAUCAAAAAAAAUAAUAAUAAAUUAGUACAAAGAAAAACGAAAAAUCGAGAAACAGACAAAAAUCGGUGUUACCGAAAAAUUUGAAAUGCAAACCGAAAAGGGGCAUUUUGAUCAUUUGACACCUAGAGUGGACUUUUGACCUAAAUGUCCAUGAAAAAUAAGUGGUAUUACAUUUUGAAAAUUUAAUGAAAAAUGAAAUUGAAGAUAAAAUGUAAUUUAAGGAAAGUUGAGGGCAAAAGUGCAAUUAAAAGAAAUCUUAAAUUAAACCAAUUUUUAAUUAACUUAAUGGAGCACCACGUGGGACAUUUAGUGGCCAUAUAAAGCCACCUUUGGACAGCACAAUCUGCAUCUUCUUCUUCAUUUUUUUCAUUAGCCGUAUUGCUCUCCCAUAGAAACCUCCAUUGAUGUCCCUAAACCAAGCUCCAUGCAUCCAUUUUCAAGCCAUUUUCCACAUGAUUUCCUUCAUUAAAUUUAGUCUACACAGCUUGGGAAGUGUUAUGGCAGCAAAAAGAAGCACGAUUGGUGAGGUUUUAGCAAGCUCUAACAAGAGGUAAGUGUCCAUUUUCUUCCCUUGCCUAAUUAAAACUUGUUUUGAGGUUGUGGGUAGUAUUUUGGUUGAAAAAUUGAAAGAAUUACUUGAAUAAUUAUUGGGUGUAACUUUUGGCAGCCAUGGAAAGGAAAGGUGAGCAGAUUAUUCUCACUUGUAAUUGAUGUUAAUUGAUGAGAAUUGGUGGGGAUUAAAGUGCUUAAAUGUAAAAGAGCUUAAUUACCAUGUGUAUGUGUGAAUUGUGCAUUGAAAAUGAGGUUAGGAAAUCAAUAUGGGAGAUUGAAGUAUAUGUGUAAAUUGGGCAGCCUUGAUGUGCUUAGGAAGGCCUUAAAUUCAAGUAUAUUUAAUGUUGAUUUAAGAACAAUGAGAUGUAUGUUAUUGAUCUUGGUUAGUUGGAUUAAGUUUGAGCAAUUAAAUUGUUGUUAGACAUGGAUUUGAUCAAUUGAGUGUGAUGGAGAAUUACUUGAGUUGAAUUUGUAUUUGGACAUUGAUUUAAUUGCUGGAUAUUUGAUCACAUAUAUUGUGGCUGGAUAUUGGUUGUAGUAUAUUGAUAUUGGACAAUUGACCCAAGUAUAAAGUGCAUAAUGUCUAUUAGAAUUGCAAAAAUUUGCAAUGCAAAGUGUGUUAGUAAAAACAGUGUGCAUUUUAGGCUCUAAAUGGAAUUGUGUGACUC
Molecule: unclassified non-coding RNA, 4499 nt
Filed under: Hevea brasiliensis (rubber tree)
Lineage: Eukaryota; Viridiplantae; Streptophyta; Magnoliopsida; Malpighiales; Euphorbiaceae
Source: RNAcentral